GUGCCAGCCGCCGCGGUAAUACGUAGGGUGCAAGCGUUGUUCGGAAUCACUGGGCGUAAAGAGAGCGUAGGCGGGAUCGUAAGUUAGAAGUUUAAUACAUGGGCUUAACCCGUGGUCGGCUUUUAAUACUGCGGUUCUUGAGUGUGGGAGAGGGCGAUGGAAUUCCAGGUGUAGCGGUGGAAUGCGUAGAUAUCUGGAAGAACACCAGUAGCGAAGGCGGUCGCCUGGCCUAACACUGACGCUGAGGCUCGAAAGCUAGGGGAGCAAACAGGAUUAGAAACCCUUGUAGUCC
This 292-nucleotide ribosomal RNA is filed under the name uncultured bacterium. Its description in RNAcentral is "partial 16S ribosomal RNA". It matches the Rfam family "Bacterial small subunit ribosomal RNA", at positions 505 to 796 of the family's 1533-position model. The record is from RNAcentral.